AUGUGGAGGAUGAUCCGAAACGGGCUAGGUGUGGGCUCGGAACUUCUAAGGAGGAGGAUAAAAGCGGGUGUUUUCUGCACGGCUUGUGGAUGGGAGGAGACAAAUUAUCACAUGUUCUGGGGUUGUUGCCAUUCAGCAAGAUUCUGGAAGAUAAUGCAUUCAGAAUUGGGGGUACCGGUGGCGAUCCCACCGGAGACAGUUAGCUCUCAGAAUGUUUUAUCGAGAUGGCUACUUUCCUGGUUUGCAGAAGCUUCUGAUGAUGCGCGCGCUGUCCUGGUACAAGGAGCAUACGCGCUAUGGUUAGCAAGGAACAACGCUCGAGAUGGGCAGAGGAUAGAGGAAGCGGAUGCAAUCGCAAGGAGGGUCUUCAAUCUCAUGGGUGAGUGGCAGGCUAUCCACGGGAGAAAGGCUAAACCAGCAAAAUCUGUGAUAAAGGAGAAGUGGAAACCCCCGGAGGUAGGAUGGGUAAAGGUGAACGUAGAUGGUGCGACGAUGAAGGGAGGCGAAGGGGGAGGCACUGGAGUGAUUUUCCGGAAUCAUGAGGGCGCCUACAUGAGCGCAGCGUGUCACUUCAUCCCACUGUGCAACAACCCAGAAAGAAUGGAGCUCUUGGCGUGUAGAGAUGCUGCGGCCAUGGCGGCAGACCUGGACAUUCCAAAGCUAUACAUCGAAACGGAUUGCAGAGAGAUAGUGGGAAAGCUUCAGAGUAGAAACAGGGAUCUAUCAGUGCUGGGACCGAUCAUAGAGGAAGUGAAGCUGCUGCUCGCAUCGAGGGAGAGCUGGAAGGUGGCAUGGAUUAGGCGUGAGGCUAAUAAAGCAGCUCAUUUGGUAGCUAGGGAAGCUGUAGUAAGUAAAUUAGACUUUGUUUGGCGUCAUACGCCCCCAGACUUUAUUGCCUGUAGUGUC
Molecule: ribosomal RNA, 906 nt
Filed under: Triticum aestivum (bread wheat)
Lineage: Eukaryota; Viridiplantae; Streptophyta; Magnoliopsida; Poales; Poaceae
Description: partial small subunit ribosomal RNA
Source: RNAcentral